GAUGAACGCUAGCUACAGGCUUAACACAUGUAAGUCGAGGGGCGAGCAUGGUCUUAGCUUGCUAAGGCUGAUGGCGACCGGCGCACGGGUGAGGUAACACGUAUCCAACCUGCCGUCUACUCUUGGACAGGCCUUCUGAAAGGAAGAUUAAUACAAGAUAGGCAUCAUGGAGUCCGCAUGUUCACAUGAUUAAAGGUAUUCCGGUAGACGAUGGGGAUGCGUUCC
Molecule: ribosomal RNA, 225 nt
Filed under: uncultured bacterium
Lineage: Bacteria
Description: partial 16S ribosomal RNA
Rfam family: Bacterial small subunit ribosomal RNA
Source: RNAcentral